RNAcentral lists this transfer RNA (74 nucleotides) under Candidatus Micrarchaeota archaeon CG_4_10_14_0_2_um_filter_60_11. Its description in RNAcentral is "tRNA-Lys". It matches the Rfam family "tRNA". From Rfam's summary of the family: Transfer RNA (tRNA) molecules are approximately 80 nucleotides in length. RNAcentral also lists the same sequence under 3 other names. Lineage: Archaea; Nanobdellati; Microcaldota. The record is from RNAcentral.
GGGUCCGUAGCUCAGCCUGGCAGAGCGCUCGGCUCUUAACCGAGGUGUCGAGGGUUCGAAUCCCUCCGGGCCCG